RNAcentral lists this ribosomal RNA (510 nucleotides) under Debaryomyces sp. 2f. Its description in RNAcentral is "SSU rRNA". It matches the Rfam family "Eukaryotic small subunit ribosomal RNA", at positions 1197 to 1738 of the family's 1831-position model. The record is from RNAcentral. Lineage: Eukaryota; Fungi; Ascomycota; Pichiomycetes; Serinales; Debaryomycetaceae.
GACUCAACACGGGAAACUCACAGGUCCAGACACAAUAAGGAUUGACAGAUUGAGAGCUUCUUCUUUCUUGAUUUUGUGGGUGGUGGUGCAUGGCGUUCUUAGUUGGUGGAGUGAUUUGUCUGCUUAAUUGCGAUAACGAACGAGACUUAACUACUAAAUAGUGCUGCUAGCUUUUGCUGGUAUAGUCACUCUUAGAGGGACUAUCGAUUUCAAGUCGAUGGAAGUUUGAGGCAAUAACAGGUCUGUGAUGCCUUAGACGUUCUGGGCCGCACGCGCGCUACACUGACGAGCCAACGAGUAUUAACUUGGCCGAGAGGUCUGGGAAAUCUUGUGAAACUCCGUCGUGCUGGGGAUAGAGCAUUGUAAUUAUUGCUCUUCAACGAGGAAUUCUAGUAAGCGCAAGUCAUCAGCUUGCGUUGAUUACGUCUGCCUUUGUACACACCGCCGUCGCUACUACCGAUUGAAUGGCUUAGUGAGGCUCCGGAUUGGUUUAAAGAAGGGCAACUCCAU